Molecule: ribosomal RNA, 406 nt
Filed under: uncultured bacterium
Lineage: Bacteria
Description: partial 16S ribosomal RNA
Rfam family: Bacterial small subunit ribosomal RNA
Source: RNAcentral
AUUGAACGCUGGCGGCAGGCCUAACACAUGCAAGUCGAGCGAGCGGCGGACGGGUGAGUAAUGUCUGGGAAACUGCCUGUUGGAGGGGGAUAACUACUGGAAACGGUAGCUAAUACUGCAUACCAUCAGAUGUGCCCAGAUGGGAUUAGCUAGUAGGUGGGGUAACGGCUCACUUAGGCGACGAUCCCGAGCUGGUCUGAGAGGAUGACCAGCAAAACUGGAACUGAGAGACGGUCCAGACUCCCACGGGAGGCAGCAGGGGGGAAUAUUGCGCAAUUGGCGCAAGCCUGAAGCAGCCAUGCCGCGUGUGUGAAGAGGGCCUUCGGGUUGUAAAGCACUUUCAGCGGGGAGGCGUUACCCGCAGAAGAAGCACUGGCUAACUCCGUGCCAGCAGCCGCGGUAAUUC